RNAcentral lists this ribosomal RNA (390 nucleotides) under uncultured Glomeromycotina. Its description in RNAcentral is "SSU rRNA". It matches the Rfam family "Eukaryotic small subunit ribosomal RNA", at positions 672 to 1063 of the family's 1831-position model. The record is from RNAcentral. Lineage: Eukaryota; Fungi; Glomeromycota.
GGUACGCACUGGCGUCAUUGGUUUCUCCUUUCUGACGAACCAUGAUGUCAUUAAUUUGGUGUUAUGGGGAGUUAGGACUGUUACUUUGAAAAAAUUAGAGUGUUUAAAGCAGGCAUUAGCUUGAAUACAUUAGCAUGGAAUAAUGAAAUAGGACGUUCGAUCCUAUUUUGUUGGUUUCUAGGAUCAACGUAAUGAUUAAUAGGGAUAGUUGGGGGCAUUAGUAUUCAAUUGUCAGAGGUGAAAUUCUUGGAUUUAUUGAAGACUAACUACUGCGAAAGCAUUUGCCAAGGAUGUUUUCAUUAAUCAAGAACGAAAGUUAGGGAAUCGAAAACAAUCAGAUACCGUCGUAGUCUUAACCAUAAACUAUGCCGACUAGGGAUCGAGAAUGAU